RNAcentral lists this transfer RNA (72 nucleotides) under Fukomys damarensis (Damara mole-rat). It matches the Rfam family "tRNA". Rfam says of the family: Transfer RNA (tRNA) molecules are approximately 80 nucleotides in length. Their secondary structure includes four short double-helical elements and three loops (D, anti-codon, and T loops). Further hydrogen bonds mediate the characteristic L-shaped molecular structure. tRNAs have two regions of fundamental functional importance: the anti-codon, which is responsible for specific mRNA codon recognition, and the 3' end, to which the tRNAs corresponding amino acid is attached (by aminoacyl-tRNA synthetases). tRNAs cope with the degeneracy of the genetic code in two manners: having more than one tRNA (with a specific anti-codon) for a particular amino acid; and 'wobble' base-pairing, i.e. permitting non-standard base-pairing at the 3rd anti-codon position. The record is from Rfam by way of RNAcentral. Lineage: Eukaryota; Metazoa; Chordata; Mammalia; Rodentia; Bathyergidae.
AGUGGUGUAGCUCAGUGGUAGAGCACUUUCCUAACAUGUACAAGUCCCUGGGUUCAAUUCCUAACACCAUAA